RNAcentral lists this transfer RNA (75 nucleotides) under Pedosphaera sp. RNAcentral describes it as "tRNA-Met". It matches the Rfam family "tRNA". Rfam says of the family: Transfer RNA (tRNA) molecules are approximately 80 nucleotides in length. Their secondary structure includes four short double-helical elements and three loops (D, anti-codon, and T loops). Further hydrogen bonds mediate the characteristic L-shaped molecular structure. tRNAs have two regions of fundamental functional importance: the anti-codon, which is responsible for specific mRNA codon recognition, and the 3' end, to which the tRNAs corresponding amino acid is attached (by aminoacyl-tRNA synthetases). tRNAs cope with the degeneracy of the genetic code in two manners: having more than one tRNA (with a specific anti-codon) for a particular amino acid; and 'wobble' base-pairing, i.e. permitting non-standard base-pairing at the 3rd anti-codon position. Lineage: Bacteria; Pseudomonadati; Verrucomicrobiota; Pedosphaerae; Pedosphaerales; Pedosphaeraceae. RNAcentral also lists the same sequence under 3 other names. The record is from RNAcentral.
GCCAGCGUAGCUCAGCGGUAGAGCAGGGGACUCAUAAGCCCUUGGUCGGAGGUUCGAUUCCUCCCGCUGGCACCA